AGAAAAAGUGUGAGAUUUCAAGGGAUUAAGCUAAUAAAGGUGGUGAGCCCUCUAACAAGGGUAAAGAGAUUGUGCCCAAAGACCGAGAAUAGAAGUAUAUCAAACUCCUAGUACAAUAGUGAUCGGCCUAGCGUGCAUUCAUCUGCACAUAUUGUCCACUGUGUAUAGGUAAAGGCAUCUUAUAGCACUUUAUUCCAAGUUGCUCCGCUGCUAGAGGUCAAGUCGUUCAUAACGUAUUUUGUUUGUGAAUAGACACUAGUGU
Molecule: non-coding RNA, 262 nt
Organism: Theobroma cacao (cacao)
Lineage: Eukaryota; Viridiplantae; Streptophyta; Magnoliopsida; Malvales; Malvaceae
Source: RefSeq, a predicted model, not a curated record